CCUACGGGAGGCAGCAGUGGGGAAUUUUGGACAAUGGGCGAAAGCCUGAUCCAGCCAUUCCGCGUGCAGGACGAAGGCCUUCGGGUUGUAAACUGCUUUUGUACGGAACGAAAAGGUUUCAGCUAAUACCUGGGACUCAUGACGGUACCGUAAGAAUAAGCACCGGCUAACUACGUGCCAGCAGCCGCGGUAAUACGUAGGGUGCGAGCGUUAAUCGGAAUUACUGGGCGUAAAGCGUGCGCAGGCGGUCUUGUAAGACAGAUGUGAAAUCCCCGGGCUCAACCUGGGAACUGCAUUUGUGACUGCAAGGCUGGAGUGCGGCAGAGGGGGAUGGAAUUCCGCGUGUAGCAGUGAAAUGCGUAGAUAUGCGGAGGAACACCGAUGGCGAAGGCAAUCCCCUGGGCCUGCACUGACGCUCAUGCACGAAAGCGUGGGGAGCAAACAGGAUUAGAUACCCUGGUAGUCCACGCCCUAAACGAUGUCAACUGGUUGUUGGGUCUUCACUGACUCAGUAACGAGCUAACGCGUGAAGUUGACCGCCUGGGGUGGUACGGCGCGAGUAGUUAACGUUACGAAGAGUUAGNGGCGNGAGAGNGCGAGGACGACGACGAGGGAGGAGG
RNAcentral lists this ribosomal RNA (620 nucleotides) under uncultured bacterium. Its description in RNAcentral is "bacterial SSU rRNA". The stretch from base 1 to 541 matches the Rfam family "Bacterial small subunit ribosomal RNA", at positions 338 to 873 of the family's 1533-position model. The record is from RNAcentral.